This 221-nucleotide ribosomal RNA is filed under the name Lactarius barrowsii. RNAcentral describes it as "partial 28S ribosomal RNA". The stretch from base 50 to 221 matches the Rfam family "Eukaryotic large subunit ribosomal RNA", at positions 1 to 169 of the family's 3401-position model. The record is from RNAcentral. Lineage: Eukaryota; Fungi; Basidiomycota; Agaricomycetes; Russulales; Russulaceae.
UUUGGGCGUGUCUCCCUUCUCGGGAGACUCUCUCGACCCCACGAACCCUUGACCUCAAAUCGGGUGAGACUACCCGCUGAACUUAAGCAUAUCGAAUAAGCGGAGGAAAAGAAACUAACAAGGAUUCCCCUAGUAACUGCGAGUGAAGCGGGAAAAGCUCAAAUUUAAAAUCUGGCAGUCCUUGGCUGUCCGAGUUGUAAUUUAGAGAAGCGUCUUCCGCG